RNAcentral lists this ribosomal RNA (495 nucleotides) under uncultured bacterium. Its description in RNAcentral is "partial 16S ribosomal RNA". It matches the Rfam family "Bacterial small subunit ribosomal RNA", at positions 28 to 507 of the family's 1533-position model. The record is from RNAcentral.
GACGAACGCUGGCGGCGUGCCUAAUACAUGCAAGUAGAACGCUGAAGGAGGAGCUUGCUCUUCUGGAUGAGUUGCGAACGGGUGAGUAACGCGUAGGUAACCUGCCUGGUAGCGGGGGAUAACUAUUGGAGACGAUAGCUAAUACCGCAUAACAGUAGAUGUUGCAUGACAUUUGCUUAAAAGGUGCAAUUGCAUCACUACCAGAUGGACCUGCGUUGUAUUAGCUAGUUGGUGGGGUAACGGCUCACCAAGGCGACGAUACAUAGCCGACCUGAGAGGGUGAUCGGCCACACUGGGACUGAGACACGGCCCAGACUCCUACGGGAGGCAGCAGUAGGGAAUCUUCGGCAAUGGACGGAAGUCUGACCGAGCAACGCCGCGUGAGUGAAGAAGGUUUUCGGAUCGUAAAGCUCUGUUGUAAGAGAAGAACGAGUGUGAGAGUGGAAAGUUCACACUGUGACGGUAUCUUACCAGAAAGGGGCGGCUAACUACGUG